This 866-nucleotide long non-coding RNA is filed under the name Ornithorhynchus anatinus (platypus). Its description in RNAcentral is "lncRNA (ENSOANG00000041517.1)". The record is from RNAcentral. Lineage: Eukaryota; Metazoa; Chordata; Mammalia; Monotremata; Ornithorhynchidae.
AGACCAUCGGAAAAACCGUGCAGAGAUAUGAAACCUCACCUUGCCAUGGCAAUGCAUAGAGAGGCAGAAUUUUGUUUGAGGAUGAAACGGUUGCGCCUCAUUCCAGAAACAACGCUAUCAGGAUGUGAGCCAACUUGUGUCUGAACUCGAGGCCACACUACUGCUCUUGCCAUGACUCCCUGGCCCUCAGGACCUCUUGUAGCGUGACUGGCGGAAGGGGAACGCAGAGCACCGCUUCAGUUACCUCCUACUGCUCCAUUCCCUGCGAUAGUGUUCCACCACCGCUGCCUCAGCCAAAAAUGAGAUGGUUUGCAAGUCCUGCUGAUCACGUGGGGAACCAAUCAUCCCAGUCCAAUGAAUGAUACCUGGAACUGGGUGUUCCCAAUCAAGGCGGAGGCCACUGUCAAAAGCCAUGAAGCAGUGAGCAGAUGCUAACGUGAUCCACUGGGGCCUACGGUAUCACGAAGUUCCAGAUGACCGCUAGUUUCCUGUCUACGCUGGAUACCAUGGGUCAUGUCUUGCCUGUUUGCAGGGUUGCACCAAGCCAUUUACUCUUUAGCAGGUAGUUGACACUUAAUUCACCAAGUAAGUGUUGGCUCAGGGCAAAUAUCCGUAGAUUAUAUGUCUGUCUUUCAUUCACUUUCUCUGUCUCUCCCUCUCUGUCUCUGUGUCACUCUCUGUUACUUGCUCACUGUCUCUGUCACUUAGCUCACUCGCUCACUCUUGUUCUCUCACACUCUUUCUCACCUCUCUCACUUACUAUCUCUCUCUCUCUCUCUCUAAUAAUGUGACUUGAAGUGAACUAAGUGAACUAAGCAUUGGGAAAAAUAUAAGAUACAAUCCCUAUCCCAUAUGGGACUCAAAGC